Molecule: ribosomal RNA, 1461 nt
Filed under: Enterococcus faecium
Lineage: Bacteria; Bacillati; Bacillota; Bacilli; Lactobacillales; Enterococcaceae
Description: bacterial SSU rRNA
Rfam family: Bacterial small subunit ribosomal RNA
Source: RNAcentral
GGCAUGGCGCGUGCUAUACAUGCAGUCGACGCUUCUUUUUCCCCGGAGCUUGCUCCACCGGAAAAAGAGGAGUGGCGAACGGGUGAGUAACACGUGGGUAACCUGCCCAUCAGAAGGGGAUAACACUUGGAAACAGGUGCUAAUACCGUAUAACAAUCGAAACCGCAUGGUUUUGAUUUGAAAGGCGCUUUCGGGUGUCGCUGAUGGAUGGACCCGCGGUGCAUUAGCUAGUUGGUGAGGUAACGGCUCACCAAGGCCACGAUGCAUAGCCGACCUGAGAGGGUGAUCGGCCACAUUGGGACUGAGACACGGCCCAAACUCCUACGGGAGGCAGCAGUAGGGAAUCUUCGGCAAUGGACGAAAGUCUGACCGAGCAACGCCGCGUGAGUGAAGAAGGUUUUCGGAUCGUAAAACUCUGUUGUUAGAGAAGAACAAGGAUGAGAGUAACUGUUCAUCCCUUGACGGUAUCUAACCAGAAAGCCACGGCUAACUACGUGCCAGCAGCCGCGGUAAUACGUAGGUGGCAAGCGUUGUCCGGAUUUAUUGGGCGUAAAGCGAGCGCAGGCGGUUUCUUAAGUCUGAUGUGAAAGCCCCCGGCUCAACCGGGGAGGGUCAUUGGAAACUGGGAGACUUGAGUGCAGAAGAGGAGAGUGGAAUUCCAUGUGUAGCGGUGAAAUGCGUAGAUAUAUGGAGGAACACCAGUGGCGAAGGCGGCUCUCUGGUCUGUAACUGACGCUGAGGCUCGAAAGCGUGGGGAGCAAACAGGAUUAGAUACCCUGGUAGUCCACGCCGUAAACGAUGAGUGCUAAGUGUUGGAGGGUUUCCGCCCUUCAGUGCUGCAGCUAACGCAUUAAGCACUCCGCCUGGGGAGUACGACCGCAAGGUUGAAACUCAAAGGAAUUGACGGGGGCCCGCACAAGCGGUGGAGCAUGUGGUUUAAUUCGAAGCAACGCGAAGAACCUUACCAGGUCUUGACAUCCUUUGACCACUCUAGAGAUAGAGCUUCCCCUUCGGGGGCAAAGUGACAGGUGGUGCAUGGUUGUCGUCAGCUCGUGUCGUGAGAAGUUGGGGUUAAGUCCCGCAACGAGCGCAACCCUUUAUUGUUAGUUGCCAUCAUUCAGUUGGGCACUCUAGCAAGACUGCCGGUGACAAACCGGAAGGAAGGUGGGGGAUGACGUCAAAUCAUCAUGGCCCUUAUGACCUGGGCUACACACGUGCUACAAUGGGGAAGUAAAACGAGUUCGGGAAAUCCCGAAGGCUAAACUAAUCUCUUUAAAGCUUCUCUCAAUUUCGGAUUGCAAGGGUGCAACUCCCCUCGCUUGAAACCCGGAAUCCCUUUGUAAUCCGGGAAUACCCACCGCCCGGUGGAUACUUUUCCGGGCCCUGUAAAAACCGCCGGCUACACCCAAAGAAUUUGUUAACCCCCCAGACUUGUGGAGGGAACUUUUUGGAAGAGCCCCC